This 908-nucleotide long non-coding RNA is filed under the name Homo sapiens (human). RNAcentral's name for it is "HSALNT0377169". The record is from RNAcentral. Lineage: Eukaryota; Metazoa; Chordata; Mammalia; Primates; Hominidae.
UUUUUGGCUGCUUGCUGGAAAAAAAAAUUAUUGCAGAGAUGAAUUGUCAGGACAUCCGCUCCCCUUCCCAUCAGCUUUAUAAACAUUUUGUACUGGAGGCAGUGUGUGUGUGCAGAAGAAACGCUAUGGAAAGUGCUGUAGAAACAAGUGUGGUUUGUUGGCUACCAAAUCUCAAGGCUAUGCUCACUGGUCAGAAUGGUUGGUGUCCAGACCCCCAGCCCCUCAGAUUCUGAGAUGUCUGUGUACCAGGGUAGCACCAGGGAUGGGUUUUCUCUGAGACUGUCUUUUCAUGAUACAGUGUAAAAUGUUUCCCAUGAAAGGGCAGAGCUGAAGAAGCAGUGCAAGUCCAUUUGAAGACCUCUGGAAGGAAACCCCCAGCGGCUCUUUUUUCACUGAACAAGCAUUGUGGGAAUUUGGGGCUCGGCUGUGUAAUUUGUCCUCUUCUCAUUCAUUCAGGACAUGUUCAGCACCAGGAGGAAUUUGCAUCCAAGUCCGUCUCCCUGCUAAGUGGUAUUUUGAGAAUUCCGAAGCUUAGUCUCAGAGAAGAGCUGACCUGAACUUGCCGAGGCUCCCACUGCAUUGUAGCUUUUCUCUGGAGAACAAAAACUGCCAUUGUCCAGCAGCUCAUUAGCAUGACUGUACAGCCUCCGGAGUUAGCAAGGUGAUGCAAAAAUAAUAUGACAAGAUCCAUGUCUUCAAUGAGCUACAAUCCUACUGGGACAUGAGACUGUGCUUAUAAUAUGAUGAAAGAAUAAGAAAAUUUUAAAGAUGAAAACACAGCAGCAACAGGUGCCAUUUUGGAAGCAAGAAGCAGAGAACAAGCUCUCACUGGGCAUUAAAUCUGCCGGCAUCUUGAUCUUGAACUUCUCAACCUCCAGAACUCUGAGAAAUAAAUUUCUAUUAUUUAC